This 253-nucleotide ribosomal RNA is filed under the name uncultured bacterium. RNAcentral describes it as "partial 16S ribosomal RNA". It matches the Rfam family "Bacterial small subunit ribosomal RNA", at positions 524 to 776 of the family's 1533-position model. The record is from RNAcentral.
UACGGAGGGGGCUAGCGUUGUUCGGAAUUACUGGGCGUAAAGCGCAUGUAGGCGGAUAUUUAAGUCAGGGGUGAAAUCCCGCAGCUCAACUGCGGAACUGCCUUUGAUACUGGGUAUCUUGAGUAUGGAAGAGGUGAGUGGAAUUCCGAGUGUAGAGGUGAAAUUCGUAGAUAUUCGGAGGAACACCAGUGGCGAAGGCGGCUCACUGGUCCAUUACUGACGCUGAGGUGCGAAAGCGUGGGGAGCAAACAGG